UACGUAGGGGGCUAGCGUUGUCCGGAUUUAUUGGGCGUAAAGAGCGUGUAGGCGGCCAGGUAGGUCUGCUGUGAAAACUCGAGGCUCAACCUCGAGCUGUCGGCGGAAACCAUCUGGCUAGAGUCCGGAAGAGGAGAGUGGAAUUCCCGGUGUAGCGGUGAAAUGCGUAGAGAUGCGGCGGAACACCGAUGGCGAAGGCAGCCCCCUGGGCUGAGAUUGACGCUCAGGCACGAAAGCGUGGGGAGCAAACAGG
This 253-nucleotide ribosomal RNA is filed under the name uncultured bacterium. Its description in RNAcentral is "partial 16S ribosomal RNA". It matches the Rfam family "Bacterial small subunit ribosomal RNA", at positions 524 to 776 of the family's 1533-position model. The record is from RNAcentral.